Molecule: ribosomal RNA, 484 nt
Filed under: uncultured bacterium
Lineage: Bacteria
Description: partial 16S ribosomal RNA
Rfam family: Bacterial small subunit ribosomal RNA
Source: RNAcentral
AUUGAACGCUGGCGGCAUGCUUUACACAUGCAAUUCGAACGGCAGCGCGGGCUUCGGCCUGGCGGCGAGUGGCGAACGGGUGGGUAAUGCAUCGGAACGUGCCCAGUAGUGGGGGAUAGCCCGGCGAAAGCCGGAUUAAUACCGCAUACGCCCUGAGGGUGAAAGCGGGGGACCGAAAGGCCUCGCGCUAUUGGAGCGGCCGAUGUCGGAUUAGCUAGUUGGUGGGGUAAAGGCUUACCAAGGCGACGAUCCGUAGCUGGUCUGAGAGGACGACCAGCCACACUGGGACUGAGACACGGCCCAGACUCCUACGGGAGGCAGCAGUGGGGAAUUUUGGACAAUGGGGGCAACCCUGAUCCAGCCAUGCCGCGUGCGGGAAGAAGGCCUUCGGGUUGUAAACCGCUUUUGUUCGGGAAGAAAUCCUCUGGGCUAAUACCCCGGGGGGAUGACGGUACCGGAAGAAUAAGCACCGGCUAACUACGUG